UAGUUACCACUAUUAUUCCCAGAGAACCUCAUUUGAAAGAUAAAACUGCUAGGAAUACUACUGAAACAGAAGUUUGCAUGAAAGACGGAAAUGGUUUGCUGGACUUGCAGCUCACCAGCACCUCUGCCUACUACACCUAUCUCCAGCUGCUCCUCAAGAGCGCUCUCCAGGGGGUCCUCCUCACCUACUGGCUAUACAGAAGACGCACUGUCUGCCGUGAUGGGAAGAGCACCCAACAGAAGGCAGCAUGCAGCGCCAUGGCAUCUCCAGUGUUUGCUGUCACCAGCAGCACUUGCUGAGGAUCUGCCACGCCUGUUGGGCACAGCUCCUGAAGGCUAUGUGCACUCUAUUUUGUCAUUAUCGCCUAAGAGUUUCCCAAGCAGUGGGUAAAAACUGUAGCUCUGUCAUGUGGUGCAGCCCACGGCACCCUGAGCCCCAUUCUAUGGUCCCUACACCCACUCCAGCCAGCCAGGUUCUCAGAGCCUCAAUGUGCACAGCUUGCUGCCUAUGGUCAGUACCACAGAGCCUGUGGCCCGGGUCAUCCCCUAGAAGCCUCCACGCUACC
Long non-coding RNA from Octodon degus (degu), 565 nucleotides. RefSeq lists it as uncharacterized. NCBI's taxonomy places the organism in Eukaryota, Metazoa, Chordata, Mammalia, Rodentia, Octodontidae. The transcript has 3 exons. The record is from RefSeq and is a predicted model, not a curated record.